GACGAACGCUGGCGGCGUGCCUAAUACAUGCAAGUCGAGCGAAGUUUUUCUGGUGCUUGCACUAGAAAAACUUAGCGGCGAACGGGUGAGUAACACGUAAAGAACCUGCCUCAUAGACUGGGACAACUAUUGGAAACGAUAGCUAAUACUGGAUAACAGUAUUUCUCGCAUGAGAGAUAUUUAAAAGUUGGUUAUGCUAACACUAUGAGAUGGCUUUGCGGUGCAUUAGCUAGUUGGUGGGGUAAAGGCCUACCAAGGCGACGAUGCAUAGCCGACCUGAGAGGGUGAUCGGCCACACUGGGACUGAGACACGGCCCAGACUCCUACGGGAGGCAGCAGUAGGGAAUCUUCCGCAAUGGGCGAAAGCCUGACGGAGCAACGCCGCGUGAGUGAAGAAGGAUUUCGGUUCGUAAAGCUCUGUUGUUAGGGAAGAAUGGAUAUGUAGUAACUAUACAUAUAAGA
RNAcentral lists this ribosomal RNA (462 nucleotides) under Gemella morbillorum. Its description in RNAcentral is "bacterial SSU rRNA". It matches the Rfam family "Bacterial small subunit ribosomal RNA", at positions 28 to 477 of the family's 1533-position model. Lineage: Bacteria; Bacillati; Bacillota; Bacilli; Caryophanales; Gemellaceae. The record is from RNAcentral.